AGCACUUAUUUGUUGAGGAGAAACUGAUCCAAUUCGGAGUCCCGCAACGAGCGCAACCCUCGUGUUUAGUUGCCAUCGUUGAGUUUGGAACCCUGAACAGACUGCCGGUGAUAAGCCGGAGGAAGGUGAGGAUGA
This 135-nucleotide non-coding RNA is filed under the name Eucalyptus grandis. RNAcentral describes it as "Bacterial small subunit ribosomal RNA". It matches the Rfam family "Bacterial small subunit ribosomal RNA", at positions 1083 to 1182 of the family's 1533-position model. Lineage: Eukaryota; Viridiplantae; Streptophyta; Magnoliopsida; Myrtales; Myrtaceae. The record is from Rfam by way of RNAcentral.